UACGUAGGGUGCAAGCGUUAAUCGGAAUUACUGGGCGUAAAGCGUGCGCAGGCGGUUUUGUAAGCCAGAUGUGAAAUCCCCGGGCUUAACCUGGGAAUGGCAUUUGGGACUGCAAGGCUUGAGUGUGGCAGAGGGGACUGGAAUUCCUGGUGUAGCAGUGAAAUGCGUAGAGAUCAGGAGGAAUACCGAUGGCGAAGGCAGGUCCCUGGGCUGACACUGACGCUCAUGCACGAAAGCGUGGGGAGCAAACAGG
Molecule: ribosomal RNA, 253 nt
Filed under: uncultured bacterium
Lineage: Bacteria
Description: partial 16S ribosomal RNA
Rfam family: Bacterial small subunit ribosomal RNA
Source: RNAcentral